Molecule: ribosomal RNA, 2900 nt
Filed under: Klebsiella pneumoniae
Lineage: Bacteria; Pseudomonadati; Pseudomonadota; Gammaproteobacteria; Enterobacterales; Enterobacteriaceae
Description: bacterial LSU rRNA
Rfam family: Bacterial large subunit ribosomal RNA
Source: RNAcentral
UUAAGCGACUAAGCGUACACGGUGGAUGCCCUGGCAGUCAGAGGCGAUGAAGGACGUGCUAAUCUGCGAAAAGCGUCGGUAAGGUGAUAUGAACCGUUACAGCCGGCGAUGUCCGAAUGGGGAAACCCAGUGUGAUUCGUCACACUAUCGUUAACUGAAUACAUAGGUUAACGAGGCGAACCGGGGGAACUGAAACAUCUAAGUACCCCGAGGAAAAGAAAUCAACCGAGAUUCCCCCAGUAGCGGCGAGCGAACGGGGAGCAGCCCAGAGUCUGAAUCAGCUUGUGUGUUAGUGGAACGGUCUGGAAAGUCCGACGGUACAGGGUGAUAGUCCCGUACACCAAAAUGCACAGGCUGUGAACUCGAAGAGUAGGGCGGGACACGUGGUAUCCUGUCUGAAUAUGGGGGGACCAUCCUCCAAGGCUAAAUACUCCUGACUGACCGAUAGUGAACCAGUACCGUGAGGGAAAGGCGAAAAGAACCCCGGCGAGGGGAGUGAAAAAGAACCUGAAACCGUGUACGUACAAGCAGUGGGAGCACCUUCGGGUGUGACUGCGUACCUUUUGUAUAAUGGGUCAGCGACUUAUAUUCUGUAGCAAGGUUAACCGUAUAGGGGAGCCGCAGGGAAACCGAGUCUUAACUGGGCGUUAAGUUGCAGGGUAUAGACCCGAAACCCGGUGAUCUAGCCAUGGGCAGGUUGAAGGUUGGGUAACACUAACUGGAGGACCGAACCGACUAAUGUUGAAAAAUUAGCGGAUGACUUGUGGCUGGGGGUGAAAGGCCAAUCAAACCGGGAGAUAGCUGGUUCUCCCCGAAAGCUAUUUAGGUAGCGCCUCGUGAACUCAUCUUCGGGGGUAGAGCACUGUUUCGGCUAGGGGGUCAUCCCGACUUACCAACCCGAUGCAAACUACGAAUACCGAAGAAUGUUAUCACGGGAGACACACGGCGGGUGCUAACGUCCGUCGUGAAGAGGGAAACAACCCAGACCGCCAGCUAAGGUCCCAAAGUCAUGGUUAAGUGGGAAACGAUGUGGGAAGGCACAGACAGCCAGGAUGUUGGCUUAGAAGCAGCCAUCAUUUAAAGAAAGCGUAAUAGCUCACUGGUCGAGUCGGCCUGCGCGGAAGAUGUAACGGGGCUAAACCAUGCACCGAAGCUGCGGCAGCGACACUAUGUGUUGUUGGGUAGGGGAGCGUUCUGUAAGCCUGCGAAGGUGUGCUGUGAGGCAUGCUGGAGGUAUCAGAAGUGCGAAUGCUGACAUAAGUAACGAUAAAGCGGGUGAAAAGCCCGCUCGCCGGAAGACCAAGGGUUCCUGUCCAACGUUAAUCGGGGCAGGGUGAGUCGACCCCUAAGGCGAGGCCGAAAGGCGUAGUCGAUGGGAAACAGGUUAAUAUUCCUGUACUUGGUGUUACUGCGAAGGGGGGACGGAGAAGGCUAUGUUAGCCGGGCGACGGUUGUCCCGGUUUAAGCAUGUAGGCUGGUUAUCCAGGCAAAUCCGGAUAAUCAAGGCUGAGGUGUGAUGACGAGGCACUACGGUGCUGAAGUAACAAAUGCCCUGCUUCCAGGAAAAGCCUCUAAGCAUCAGGUAACAUCAAAUCGUACCCCAAACCGACACAGGUGGUCAGGUAGAGAAUACCAAGGCGCUUGAGAGAACUCGGGUGAAGGAACUAGGCAAAAUGGUGCCGUAACUUCGGGAGAAGGCACGCUGGUGUGUAGGUGAAGUCCCUGCGGAUGGAGCUGAGACCAGUCGAAGAUACCAGCUGGCUGCAACUGUUUAUUAAAAACACAGCACUGUGCAAACACGAAAGUGGACGUAUACGGUGUGACGCCUGCCCGGUGCCGGAAGGUUAAUUGAUGGGGUUAUCCGUAAGGAGAAGCUCUUGAUCGAAGCCCCGGUAAACGGCGGCCGUAACUAUAACGGUCCUAAGGUAGCGAAAUUCCUUGUCGGGUAAGUUCCGACCUGCACGAAUGGCGUAAUGAUGGCCAGGCUGUCUCCACCCGAGACUCAGUGAAAUUGAACUCGCUGUGAAGAUGCAGUGUACCCGCGGCAAGACGGAAAGACCCCGUGAACCUUUACUAUAGCUUGACACUGAACAUUGAGCCUUGAUGUGUAGGAUAGGUGGGAGGCUUUGAAGCGUGGACGCCAGUCUGCGUGGAGCCAACCUUGAAAUACCACCCUUUAAUGUUUGAUGUUCUAACGUUGGCCCCUGACCGGGGUUGCGGACAGUGUCUGGUGGGUAGUUUGACUGGGGCGGUCUCCUCCCAAAGCGUAACGGAGGAGCACGAAGGUUAGCUAAUCCUGGUCGGACAUCAGGAGGUUAGUGCAAUGGCAUAAGCUAGCUUGACUGCGAGCGUGACGGCGCGAGCAGGUGCGAAAGCAGGUCAUAGUGAUCCGGUGGUUCUGAAUGGAAGGGCCAUCGCUCAACGGAUAAAAGGUACUCCGGGGAUAACAGGCUGAUACCGCCCAAGAGUUCAUAUCGACGGCGGUGUUUGGCACCUCGAUGUCGGCUCAUCACAUCCUGGGGCUGAAGUAGGUCCCAAGGGUAUGGCUGUUCGCCAUUUAAAGUGGUACGCGAGCUGGGUUUAGAACGUCGUGAGACAGUUCGGUCCCUAUCUGCCGUGGGCGCUGGAGAAUUGAGGGGGGCUGCUCCUAGUACGAGAGGACCGGAGUGGACGCAUCACUGGUGUUCGGGUUGUCAUGCCAAUGGCACUGCCCGGUAGCUAAAUGCGGAAGAGAUAAGUGCUGAAAGCAUCUAAGCACGAAACUUGCCCCGAGAUGAGUUCUCCCUGAGACUUUAAGUCUCCUGAAGGAACGUUGAAGACGACGACGUUGAUAGGCCGGGUGUGUAAGCGCAGCGAUGCGUUGAGCUAACCGGUACUAAUGAACCGUGAGGCUUAACCUU